This 253-nucleotide ribosomal RNA is filed under the name uncultured bacterium. Its description in RNAcentral is "partial 16S ribosomal RNA". It matches the Rfam family "Bacterial small subunit ribosomal RNA", at positions 524 to 776 of the family's 1533-position model. The record is from RNAcentral.
AACGUAGGGGGCGAGCGUUGCCAGGAUUUACUGGGCGUAAAGCGCGCGUAGGCGGCUGCGUAAGUGGGGAGUUAAAGCUCUCGGCUCAACCGAGGAAAUGCUCCUCAAACUGCGCGGCUUGAGUGUAGGAGAGGGGAGUGGAAGUCCCGGUGUAGCGGUGAAAUGCGUUGAUAUCGGGAGGAACACCGGUGGCGAAGGCGGCUCCCUGGUCUACCACUGACGCUGAGGCGCGAAAUCGUGGGGAGCGAACGGG